GUAUUUCAAAAAGAUUGUUUUGGGUUUUUGUUUGCAGGGAGAUGGGGAUGCAGUAAGUUGCAACUUUUUAUUUCUUAGAAAAACAAAUGACAUUUUAAUAGAGAAGAACAGAGAUGAGAAAAGUACAGCAUAUUAUGAGGUCAAAAGAUAUCAAAUACACUUUAGUUGUGUUACUGCCUGGAGUAUGACUGACACGUCCCUUUAAUAUCUGAAACUAAAUUGGUAUUAAAGUUCC
Molecule: non-coding RNA, 235 nt
Organism: Pelobates cultripes (western spadefoot toad)
Lineage: Eukaryota; Metazoa; Chordata; Amphibia; Anura; Pelobatidae
Source: the annotation of a GenBank genome assembly